This 312-nucleotide ribosomal RNA is filed under the name Burkholderia multivorans. RNAcentral describes it as "bacterial SSU rRNA". It matches the Rfam family "Bacterial small subunit ribosomal RNA", at positions 1 to 304 of the family's 1533-position model. Lineage: Bacteria; Pseudomonadati; Pseudomonadota; Betaproteobacteria; Burkholderiales; Burkholderiaceae. The record is from RNAcentral.
UUUAUUGGAGAGUUUGAUCCUGGCUCAGGACGAACGCUGGCGGCGUGCCUAAUACAUGCAAGUCGAGCGGACUUUAAAAGCUUGCUUUUAAAGUUAGCGGCGGACGGGUGAGUAACACGUGGGCAACCUGCCUGUAAGACUGGGAUAACUUCGGGAAACCGGAGCUAAUACCGGAUAAUCCUUUUCCUCUCAUGAGGAAAAGCUGAAAGACGGUUUACGCUGUCACUUACAGAUGGGCCCGCGGCGCAUUAGCUAGUUGGUGAGGUAACGGCUCACCAAGGCGACGAUGCGUAGCCGACCUGAGAGGGUGAU